GAACAACUAUGGCUCCAGGAGGUAGAUGGCAAGUCCUAUCAAGAAGGCCAGAGGGGACAUCAAAAUCUGUUUCUUCUUUCCAAGAAGCUUACAAAUUCCUUGAAAACGGAAUCUGGUUCUUUGAAAGGGUCUUUCAAUACGGUUGUGAUGCUAUUUGAACACCUACCCAGAAUUCAACAGAAAGGGAUAAAAAAGCAGAAGGAAUCAGACCGCAACUUAAAAAAAUGUUAAAACGUAUGUUUAUGAAGGUCUCCAGAUGAUACUUUUUCUGCCGAGGGAAUAUAGAAACAAAAACCAGAAGAGAAACAUUCAGAGCCUUUUGCAAGUGGGAGUCUCUAGGCUGGAAUCUCAUCUCCAAAUUGACCAGCCACACAAAGGAAGGAUCUCAACUUCUGCACAAGACGCAUUGCAUAUCCUGAUUGGUGAAGCAGAUUCCUUGAAAAUAACCCAUCUUAUUCGUACAGUUUGGGAACUAACUAAUUUGAUUUACAAAUACAGUAAUCACAAUGCAAACUCUGUUCAGGAAGAAUCAUGUGUAAACGAUUAGACACUAUUGGGG
This 559-nucleotide long non-coding RNA is filed under the name Equus asinus (donkey). RNAcentral describes it as "lncRNA (ENSEASG00005029314.1)". The record is from RNAcentral. Lineage: Eukaryota; Metazoa; Chordata; Mammalia; Perissodactyla; Equidae.